UUCUUGAGUGUGUACUUGUUAAGCCUUUUAAGAAAAAAGUUAUUAACUUAAGGAAUUAUAACAAAGAAGCAACACGUAAAUGGAUUUUCCAUUUUUUAGUGUGUAUCAAUCGAGUUUCUGACCUAUCAGCUUUUGAUGUUAGGGUAUUGGCCUAACAUGGCUAUGACGGGUAACGGGGAAUUAGAGUUCGAUUCCGGAGAGGGAGCCUGAGAAAUAGCUACCACAUCUAAGGAAGGCAGCAGGCGCGUAAAUUACCCAAUUCUAAAGAAGAGAGGUAGUGACAAGAAAUAACAAUACAAGGCCAAUCUGGCUUUGUAAUUGGAAUGAUGGGAAUUUAAAACCUUCCCAAAACUCAAUUGGAGGGCAAGUCUGGUGCCAGCAGCCGCGGUAAUUCCAGCUCCAAUAGCGUAUAUUAAAAUUGUUGCAGUUAAAACGCUCGUAGUUGAAUUUCAAAGAAUCGAUAUUUUAAGUAGCACUUUGUAGAUUAAUCCACAUAAAUGAUACUACGUAUCGACUUUGUGCGCAUUUUUCUACUUAUGUGUUCUUUUAAUUAAAAUGAUUCUUUUUAAGAUCUUUCUUUUUUGCUUCGGCAUUUUAGGAGAUCUUGUUACUUUGAGUAAAUUAGAGUGUUCAAAGCAAACAGAUUAUAGCAUCUUUAUGCGUUUGAAUACUACAGCAUGGAAUAACAAAAUUGAACAAGUCAGAAUUUUGUUCUUUUUUCUUAUUUUGGCUUAGUUACGAUUAAUAGGAGUAGCUUGGGGGCAUUUGUAUUCAGAUGUCAGAGGUGAAAUUCUUAGAUUUUCUGGAGACAAACAACUGCGAAAGCAUUUGCCUAAAAUACUUCCAUUAAUCAAGAACGAAAGUUAAGGGAGUGAAGACGAUCAGAUACCGUCGUAAUCUUAACCAUAAACUAUGCCGACUAGGC
Molecule: ribosomal RNA, 925 nt
Filed under: Plasmodium inui
Lineage: Eukaryota; Apicomplexa; Aconoidasida; Haemosporida; Plasmodiidae
Description: SSU rRNA
Rfam family: Eukaryotic small subunit ribosomal RNA
Source: RNAcentral